UACGUAGGGGGCAAGCGUUGUCCGGAAUUAUUGGGCGUAAAGAGCUCGUAGGCGGUUUGUCGCGUCGGAUGUGAAAACCCAGGGCUCAACCCUGGGCCUGCAUUCGAUACGGGCAGACUAGAGUAUGGCAGGGGAGACUGGAAUUCCUGGUGUAGCGGUGAAAUGCGCAGAUAUCAGGAGGAACACCGGUGGCGAAGGCGGGUCUCUGGGCCAAAACUGACGCUGAGGAGCGAAAGCGUGGGGAGCGAACAGG
This 253-nucleotide ribosomal RNA is filed under the name uncultured bacterium. RNAcentral describes it as "partial 16S ribosomal RNA". It matches the Rfam family "Bacterial small subunit ribosomal RNA", at positions 524 to 776 of the family's 1533-position model. The record is from RNAcentral.